Molecule: ribosomal RNA, 465 nt
Filed under: uncultured bacterium
Lineage: Bacteria
Description: bacterial SSU rRNA
Rfam family: Bacterial small subunit ribosomal RNA
Source: RNAcentral
CCCCAGACUCCUACGGGAGGCAGCAGUGAGGAAUAUUGGUCAAUGGGCGCGAGCCUGAACCAGCCAAGUCGCGUGAGGGAAGACGGUCCUAUGGAUUGUAAACCUCUUUUGUCGGGGAGCAAAAGCCGGACGUGUCCGUCUGUGAGAGUACCCGAAGAAAAAGCAUCGGCUAACUCCGUGCCAGCAGCCGCGGUAAUACGGAGGAUGCGAGCGUUAUCCGGAUUUAUUGGGUUUAAAGGGUGCGUAGGCGGACCGUCAAGUCAGCGGUAAAAAUGCGGUGCUCAACGCCGUACAGCCGUUGAAACUGGCAGUCUUGAGUGGGCGAGAAGUAUGCGGAAUGCGUGGUGUAGCGGUGAAAUGCAUAGAUAUCACGCAGAACUCCGAUUGCGAAGGCAGCAUACCGGCGCCCGACUGACGCUGAGGCACGAAAGCGUGGGUAUCGAACAGGAUUAGAUACCCCCGUAA